UUAAGUUACUCGCUUACUUUGUUUCAGUGUUAGAGUAUAUGUAUAAGGUUUUGAAGUAAUAUUAAUAUAAGUUACUGCGCCUCAAUCCGAAAGCUAACCACUGGAGGUAGCAUUUGUAGGCUGUAUAACUUUUACGUCAUCAAGACUGUCAUAUUUAAGAAUAUUAACAAUUAUAAAGUUAACUAUUAUUCUCAGUUAAUCGUAAAUUGUUGUAAUAUGCUUAUGACUUGCGAAUGUAAAGUUAAUUUAACUGAAAUAAACCAGGCUUGAUGACGUAUGCAGCCUGCAUAUUCGACCACCGGAGGAGUGAGCGUGCGCGAGAUUCUGUCCGAAUUAAUUCUUCAAUAAUGGCAAAGCAAAAAGUUACUGUCGUGAUGAUAACCCACAUUUUAAGGUUUAAAUUAAAAACUCCUAACUUACCUUUCCAGGGGUUUCUGUUCCUGCAGUCUUCCAGCGAUACUGGCGUGUAUGACGAUGCGGACACGAUCAGCACACUACAGUAUACCGCCACCUACUGUACUGUAGUAAAAUAACAUCCUUUAAACAUCUAAACAUGUCCUCCAAAAAGGUAAGUUCAGCAGAUCAGCUUAUCUUAUUCAGUAAUAUUGAUACUGGUUUGAGAAAAACUAAGAUUAAACAACAUACAUGUUUCCAGGAAAAAGGGAAAAACACUGGAAAACAAUUUCAGCCUAAGGUUUGAGAUGGCUAACUGUGUACAUUGCCUUUGUGUACUGCAAGCUGAAUUUACAGAUUUAUAUGGACUUUACUUACAGGUUUCCUGUGCUGUUUUGCUCCAUUUUACAGAACAAAAUAAGGCUGAGGUAGCACCAUCCUUGUGGUUAGAGUGAAAGACUGUGGGUAUUGAGACCAAAAUAAAUAAUGUGCGAUUCUGGACAAACAGCUGUGGACAAUAUGCAGUCAGAGUAGCCUAUUUUCUCACACAGGUAAAGUAUGCAAAGUAAUACCAAACUUCUUUUUAACCUUAACAAAUACUGGCAAGCCAAAUAUACAAUGUUUAUGUGAGGUACUGUGCAAAUGUUUAGGCCACCAUGCUACCAUUAGAUUUGUUGUUUUUGCAAUUGUAUAGUGAUCAUAUAUAAUUAUUUCUCAGUCUCCUUAUUAGAAUACAACCAGAAAAUACAGGAAAUGUGUGUAGUAUUAAAAACAAUAUAAACGUAUAAGCUGAAGUGUCAAGUAUU
Non-coding RNA from Misgurnus anguillicaudatus (oriental weatherfish), 1199 nucleotides. The record is from RefSeq and is a predicted model, not a curated record. NCBI's taxonomy places the organism in Eukaryota, Metazoa, Chordata, Actinopteri, Cypriniformes, Cobitidae.